RNAcentral lists this ribosomal RNA (230 nucleotides) under uncultured bacterium. RNAcentral's name for it is "partial 16S ribosomal RNA". It matches the Rfam family "Bacterial small subunit ribosomal RNA", at positions 118 to 348 of the family's 1533-position model. The record is from RNAcentral.
UGAGGAACAUGACCUUCGGCGGGGGAUAGCCGGCCCAACGGCCGGGUAAUACCGCGUGCGACCACUUUGGGACAUCCCUGGGUGGUGAAAGCAGCAAUGCGCCGAUGGAGUGCCUCGCGGCCUAUCAGCUAGUUGGUGAGGUAACGGCUCACCAAGGCGACGACGGGUAGCUGGUCUGAGAGGAUGGCCAGCCACAUUGGGACUGAGACACGGCCCAGACUCCUAGGAGG